UACAGAGACUGCAAGCGUUAUUCGGAUUCACUGGGCGUAAAGGGUGCGCAGGCGGCCAUGUGUGUAAGGUGUGAAAUCCCGGGGCUUAACCCCGGAACUGCGCCUUAAACUACAUGGCUAGAGUAUUGGAGAGGGUAGUGGAAUUCACGGUGUAGCAGUGAAAUGCGUAGAUAUCGUGAGGAACACCAGAGGCGAAGGCGACUACCUGGACAAUUACUGACGCUCAGGCACGAAAGCGUGGGGAGCAAAAGGG
RNAcentral lists this ribosomal RNA (253 nucleotides) under uncultured bacterium. Its description in RNAcentral is "partial 16S ribosomal RNA". It matches the Rfam family "Bacterial small subunit ribosomal RNA", at positions 524 to 776 of the family's 1533-position model. The record is from RNAcentral.